AACGAACGUUAGCGGCGCGCCUAACACAUGCAAGUCGCACGAGAAAGGGCUUCGGCCCCGGUACAGUGGCGCACGGGUGAGUAACACGUAGAUCAUCUCCCUCGAGUGGUGGAUAACUCUCCGAAAGGAGAGCUAAUACAGCAUGAGACCACGGCUUCGUUGAAGCUGCGGCCAAAGCAGGCCUCUACACGUAAGCUUGCGCUUGAGGAUGAGUCUGCGGCCCACUCAGCUAGUUGGUAGGGUAAUGGCCUACCAAGGCUAAGACGGGUAGGCUGGUCUGAGAGGAUGAACAGGCCACACUGGAACUGAGACACGGUCCAGACUCCGUACGGGAGGCAGCAGUGGGGAAUCUUGCGCAAUGGGCGAAAGCCUGACGCAGCGACGCCGCGUGAGCGAUGAAGGCCUUCGGUU
RNAcentral lists this ribosomal RNA (411 nucleotides) under uncultured bacterium. RNAcentral's name for it is "bacterial SSU rRNA". It matches the Rfam family "Bacterial small subunit ribosomal RNA", at positions 29 to 423 of the family's 1533-position model. The record is from RNAcentral.